RNAcentral lists this ribosomal RNA (496 nucleotides) under uncultured bacterium. RNAcentral describes it as "partial 16S ribosomal RNA". It matches the Rfam family "Bacterial small subunit ribosomal RNA", at positions 29 to 507 of the family's 1533-position model. The record is from RNAcentral.
AUGAACGCUGGCGGCGUGCCUAAUCCAUGCAAGUCGAGCGAACGGACGAGAAGCUUGCUUCUCUGAUGUUAGCGGCGGACGGGUGAGUAACACGUGGAUAACCUACCUAUAAGACUGGGAUAACUUCGGGAAACCGGAGCUAGUACCGGAUAAUAUUUUGAACCGCAUGGUUCAAAAGUGAAAGACGGUCUUGCUGUCACUUAUAGAUGGAUCCGCGCUGCAUUAGCUAGUUGGUAAGGUAACGGCUUACCAAGGCAACGAUGCAUAGCCGACCUGAGAGGGUGAUCGGCCACACUGGAACUGAGACACGGUCCAGACUCCUACGGGAGGCAGCAGUAGGGAAUCUUCCGCAAUGGGCGAAAGCCUGACGGAGCAACGCCGCGUGAGUGAUGAAGGUCUUCGGAUCGUAAAACUCUGUUAUUAGGGAAGAACAUAUGUGUAAGUAACUGUGCACAUCUUGACGGUACCUAAUCAGAAAGCCACGGCUAACUACGUG